This 676-nucleotide ribosomal RNA is filed under the name uncultured fungus. RNAcentral describes it as "eukaryotic LSU rRNA". The stretch from base 464 to 676 matches the Rfam family "Eukaryotic large subunit ribosomal RNA", at positions 1 to 209 of the family's 3401-position model. Lineage: Eukaryota; Fungi. The record is from RNAcentral.
CGUAUUCACCCCAAGUUCCUGAAAACUUUCUUAAAAAAAACUCAUCAAAGACCAUCGGUGAAACGGUGGCGCUAAUAAAAAGUGAAAACUUUCAACAACGGAUCUCUUGGCUCUCGCAUCGAUGAAGAACGCAGCGAAAUGCGAUAAGUAGUGUGAAUUGCAGACUAGUGAAUCAUCGAAUCUUUGAACGCAGAUUGCGCUCUCGGGAAACCGGGAGCAUGCUUGUCUGAGGGCCGGUAAAACAAAACCCGCUUGCGGGUGUGAAUGGGUGGCUCCGUUGUGCGCAUUUUUAUCUGUAGCGUAACGGUCACCUGAAAUGACUGCACCAUGCCGUCGCGGAAUUGCAUAGUAGUGAAGGCGUCGCAAGGCGCUCUCUUGCAAGCAAAGGAAGCGUUGGCAACGACGGUGGCGCACUGUUUGGUGUAUGUAUACCAAAUGUCUCUCCGGAGGCACAUCGUAGACACGACCUCAGAUCAAGCAAGAACACCCGCUGAACUUAAGCAUAUCAAUAAGCGGAGGAAAAGAAACUAACAAGGAUUCCCCUAGUAACGGCGAGUGAAGCGGGAACAGCUCAAAUUUUAAAUCGGGCGCUCGAUGGGCGUCUGAGUUGUAGUUUGAAGAGACGUUUUCGCGCCGUGGAAGACGGUCCAAGUCCUCUGGAAAGAGGCGUCGCAGA